UCUACUCGCAGGAAGGCGCACGCGUUCAUCAGCUUCUAUCGGCACUCCCCCACCUGCCUGCCAACACGUUCGCCACAUCAUCCCUUGAUUGACUCACUCCUCUGUAUUCUUCAUAUCUGUUUCCUGCUCCGGUGGAUGCGAAAUGAGGACUCAGCGGCUCUACUCUCAACUUGUAACGGCGCUUCGCUCUUCUUGUGUGCGCGGCAGCGCUGCGGCCGCUGCCGCAGCGGUUUGCACAGCCUUACGACACGCCAGCGCUGAAGCUGUCCUAGCGCAGCAGGAGCAUGCUAAUGUCCACGUCGACAGCGACGAUGCACCACCGGCAGCCCAUCAGGAGCAUGUACAGGAGGCUGGUGAUAAAGAGCCGCACCAGGCCUCACUGGUGUCUCAACUGCUGCCGUAUGUGUACGGUUCCAGCGGUGUCGCAGGCGACGCGCACCUUUCUCUGCCCAUCGACCACGUCGCGUUGCGACGCAUCAAGAACAUCAUGAAUGUGAAGAGCAAGCACGAUUUGGCCAAGGCGCUUGACAAUGUCCACCUGCUCGAGACGCCGGAGGACUGCACCCGCUACGUGAACCUGACCGCGUCCUACAUUCGACAGCAAGCACGGAUGGAGGAGCAGGCGCAGUCCCCAUCUCUUGCGACGCGUCAGCGUGCAGCGUACUUGCAGCGACAGCUGCGAGGUGUUCGACUCAGCGGGCUGGAGAAGAGCGCGCUGCUUAGGAAGGCCUGCACCCUCGUUGAGGAACGACGAGUGCCGCUCGUGGUCGCGAGUCGGCUGCUGCGCUUCCGCUGGCCUGGUGACCUCGCCACCGUCGCUUGCGGCGUCCGUCAGUCCUACGUGAUGGAUUUGAUCCGCAGUUGGGCCACAGAGGCGCUGCAGCAAAAUGAGCUCGAGCCGCGGGACGCGCGCGCGCUCUUGAACAACUGUGCCUUCGCCUUGAAGUCCGCUGUGCGCCGACACGCGAAAGGCCAGGCGGCAGAGCCACUUAGCGACAUCUCAUCCUUCAUCGGGGCACUUGUGAUGAGGGCCAGCCAAGACGCACACUCGCCCGCGAAGGCGGAGGGGUUGAUUGGCCUCAUGUGGUCGGUACACUUGACGGGGUGUCCGGCGCCAGCGAGCUUCUGGGACACGAUGGUGCAGCGUGUGGUGAGCAUGAAUGAGGCGUUGGAGGGGGAGCUCGCAAGCAGCGCGGACGCCGCAGCAUCAGAGGACGGCACGCCCACCUCUGCCCGCGCCAUUUCCACCUCUCCUGCAUCGUCGCCGUCGUCCGCAAAAGUGCCGCGCGCGGGCCACUUCUUCAGCACUCUCUCGACCCGCCAGCUCUACCGCUUCCUCACGGUGCUGAAGCUGGCGAAGUGGGAUGGCAACCCAACCGUUCUGCAUCGGCUGGCAGACCAGACGCUGCGUAACGUCGCCUUCGAGUUGGAAGCAGCGAACUUCGACCGGCAUGUGAGCAGCGACAGUGAAUGUAAGAGGGCGGUGGCGGCGGCGGCGAAGCCGAGUAUCAAGCCGUUUUCUGUUAUGAACGCUGCAGAGGUACAUCUAGGCACGGCACAGCAAAAGCCCGUGCGGUUACCCAAGUCAGUGGUGGCGCGCCGCAUCCGGCAGGUGGCAGACCUGCAUCCGGACGAGUUCCUUGAGCUGCUUCACCUUGCCGGGGAUCUGGGGGUUCCAUUCAGCAUCUCUGCGACCCGCAUGGUGGACGAGCUCCUCAUUCCACUUGUGCCGCACCUCAAUGCUAAGCAGCUCAUUGUUCUCCUCCAGGUCGUGCGUCACACGCGAAGCCAGUCUUCGACGCUUCUGCAGGUGGUGAUGGACCGCCUCGUCGAGCGUGGCGCCGCCGGCGCUUACGCGCUUCCUCUAGCAAAGGCGGCUGUGAAGGCUGCGGCGAAGGCGCCGGCCGUAUUCCAGAGCUUGCGCACGGACGACUUUGUUGAACUCUUCACGACCACCUGCGAGGCACAGCAUACACUCGUUCGGGCCGCGGAAGUGGCCGCGAUGGGAGACAUCCUCUACGCCCUCAGCAGGCGCUACGAAGAGACCUCGCUGCAAGGCCAGCGCAUUCGCGAAGUGAUGAAUCUUCUCUGCGCACAGGUGGACCGGCUCGUUCAGCUGCAAGUGGCUUCCAGCUCGAUAGCAGACCGGCUGCUGGAGUGUACCGUUCUGCUGCGCAUGCGCGCCAAUAAGGUGCAGUACCCAGCAGUGCAGGAGCUCCUCGCCUCCAGGGCAGUGGCAGUAGAUCGAGAGGAGCGGUGCCGCGAGGCCCGCCAAGAGUGGGCCCUGAAGUGGGCCGAGACGCUCGCAGCAGGAGCGGUGGAAGGAGCGAUAUCUUCUCCGCGCCGCGAAUCGCUGAAGUGGGAAGGGCUCUCCGAAGGGAACCUCCCGCAGGUGGCGAAGGCUGCCCUUUCCGUGUAUGGUGAAUUCGUGUACAUAUUCGAGCGCAUGGUCACCGUGAAGGCGGUACUGACGGCGAAGGACUUUGAGUUGUUUGCAUUCAGCAUCAAGAAGGCGGGGCUCUACAGCAUCUUGCAAGGAGCCCAGCUCUUCCAGCAGGGGCACUUCGAGGCCGACGUUCCGUACACAACGCCUGCCUCCCAAGCAGCCGCGCAGGGGCUUUCGAGGACUAUGCCGGCGUGGAUGGAGAAGACGGUCACAAACGCUGUGCUCACCAAGCUGUCCAACAGCCGCAUCUCUUCGUCGGACACGGACGACGACUUUCUGAAGGUGCUGGGCCACGUGCACUGCGAUGCGGCCAAGGUGGACGCCGUGAUUGAGAUGAUGGCCAGGUCACCGCUGCGCAGACUGCAGCGCCAGAGACCAGUUUGGCUGUACAUUGCCGAGCUGGCGCGUCGCUUCGGCUCCGAGGAGACGAAGGAGGCAAUGUCGGCGUACUUGAAGAAGGCGCUGUACUGAGUGCCACGUGAGGGUCUAGGUAGCGAAUCUGUGGAGGGCGGCUGGAGGGGGACGGCUUCGGGGGCAUCCCCUCUCUCUCGCGCGCGCGCGUGCAUGGCGUACUACGUGCCGGCGGACAUGCAAGACGAUCAUGAGUGACGCGUUUGUGUUCUUGAAGGGUUUGUGGUGUGUGCGCCUUCGGAUGUGGAGGGCGAGUGGCUGCCCGCGAUGCUGAUUUUGUCGUUGAAGAUGUCGGAGCUCUGUCACACAAACGCGCCUGGGAAUGCGCUCUACAAGACAAGCGUGGAGUGAAGUCCCGAGACGUUUGUAGCGCUGGUUACUCUCACAG
This 3245-nucleotide unclassified non-coding RNA is filed under the name Leishmania donovani. RNAcentral describes it as "gene:LdHU3.31.0970(CDS-product:mitochondrial_RNA_ binding_protein_putative)". Lineage: Eukaryota; Euglenozoa; Kinetoplastea; Trypanosomatida; Trypanosomatidae. The record is from RNAcentral.